This 223-nucleotide long non-coding RNA is filed under the name Gossypium raimondii (Peruvian cotton). RNAcentral describes it as "long non-coding RNA (GRAI_LNC004055)". The record is from RNAcentral. Lineage: Eukaryota; Viridiplantae; Streptophyta; Magnoliopsida; Malvales; Malvaceae.
GGUUUUGGUAAAAAUAUAGGCCCGAAAAAUAGACUUGGGCAAAAAAAUAAGGCCCGUUUAGAAAAUGGAUCGGGCCUUGAGUAAGGCUUUUUUGGCCCAAGCCUGGCUCGGCUCGAAUAUGAAUUUUUUUUUACUUUUUUAUUAUUUUCUUUUUUUUUUCACUAUUUUGCUACUAUUUUACAAUUAUGUUGCUACUAUUUUGUUGUUAUCAUUUGGAUAUUAU